GCCUGCAUGGCUUAGUGGUUGAGUGUUAGCCUAUGAACCUGGAGGUCAUGGUUCAAUUCCCUGUCAGGGCA
Myotis lucifugus (little brown bat) is the source of this 71-nucleotide non-coding RNA. NCBI's taxonomy places the organism in Eukaryota, Metazoa, Chordata, Mammalia, Chiroptera, Vespertilionidae. The record is from Rfam.